Musa acuminata AAA Group (dessert banana) is the source of this 1744-nucleotide long non-coding RNA. RefSeq lists it as uncharacterized. The record is from RefSeq and is a predicted model, not a curated record. Lineage: Eukaryota; Viridiplantae; Streptophyta; Magnoliopsida; Zingiberales; Musaceae. The transcript has 5 exons.
UUAGGGUUCCUUUUCGCGGCUCUCCUCGCCCGGUUCCUUUCCUCCGUUUCUGCCUUCCCUCCCGCAACGCUUUUACCCAUCCCGUUCCAGGCUUUCUACUGUCUCUCCUCCACCCAGUUCCUUUCCUCAGUUUUACUGUCUCCGUUUCUCUCUUUCUAAAUCUCUCCAGGUAUCUGUGUCCCUACCCUUUGCUUUGGUCGCCGAAAUAUAUUGGGUUUUGGUGCUUUUCCUCAGCACAUCUGUCUUCCAUUGUGUUUUUUCUGUUUGGAUCAUCUAGGGUUAGGAAUAUAUGAUCUAAGGUGGUUGGUAGGUCGAGACUGUUUCCUGAGUUAUGCGAACUUCAUGGGCUGAUUCCGUUGCGAACGCCGAGAGCUCGGCGUGUGCGAUCGGUGCUUCUGUAAGCAUAAGCAACACUGGCAACACCAACGCCACUGCUGCUGUGGUCAUUGGCGCCCCUCGCCCUGUUCGCGCUGCCUACGUCCUUCCAACGGUGUGCAGUCUUCCAAACUCCCAGCGCCAGCCCCUGUCUAUGGUCCUUCUGCAGCCAAAUUACCAUCUGGGCCUAGAGCGCCUUCUGGAGGAGACCGAUGGGGUGGUGACUCUACUCGAGAUGCAGGACGCCCUGGCUUUGCUGGCGGCCGGGGUGGAGGAGGUGGUUGGGGCUCAAGGAUCGUUGGGUGGGAUCGGAGGAAGCGUGAGAAGAACCCUUUCGCAGAUGAUGAAGAAACCACUGAAGUCGCGUUUGAUGGUCAGGAGACUACUGGCAUAAAUUUUAAUCCAUAUGAAGGCAUACCUAUGGUGGUGAACGGUGAGACUGUGACUCCGCCGGUGAGCACAUUUGCUGAGAUUGAUUUGGGGGAUGAAAACACACCUGUGGAGGUGAGCCAUGUUAUUCCCAUCUUGCUAGCUGGACGAGACCUGAUGGUCUGUGCUCAGACUGGGUCAGGAAAGGCAGCAGCUUUCUGCUUUCCAAAUUAUUAGUGGGAUCAUAAGGGGACCACCUUCACAGUGGCAGCGGGGCUCGAGGGCAGUGUAUCCUCCUGCGCUUAUCUUGUCACCUACCCGUGAGCUCUCGGUUCAAUCCAGAUGUUGAUAAUUUACAAGAUAGAACCACUUUCCUAAAGUCUGACUGCCCAGUCGCAAAAAUGAUCCUGAAGUUGUUGAAGCACAAGAAGAAGAGCAAAAGGCAAUUGAUCAAAAGAGAAGUUGAUACAUGAGGAGGCUAGAAAGUUCUCCUACCAGACUGGUGGAUCCCCAAUCAAUUAGCAGACACUAGUUGCGAAGGAGGAUAUAAACAAUUGGAUUGAUCGGAGAUUGUCACUGCCAGUUUGUGAGUGCACUACACAGCAUGCUGCAUGAAUUCCACUAUAGGAGCAACAGUGGAAAACAAUGACAAAUGGUUACCUCAGGAAGUGUGCCAUGUUGCACGGCACAAAAAACCCAUCGUGUAGUGAUUUGAGGAGCACGAAUCCCCAGGAACGGGAACGAGCACUCAGAUCCUUCAAGAGUCGUGCUACUCCAAUUCUAGUUGGUGGUCAUAGUUUUGGUAGUGAUUCCUCCAUCGGCAGCGGUGGAGAUGGCGAUUAUUGACUUUGAUAUUAAAUGUUCGAUCAAACCGACUUAUAACUUCAUUUGGUCCAAACUACUACUCAAAAUGGUUAAAUCGAAGUUAUCGUAUAUAAUACACUCAUCAGAUCCUUACAAGUUAAUUUUAAUCUUUGUCCACUUGCAAUGUGAAUUAUAA